RNAcentral lists this ribosomal RNA (766 nucleotides) under Nocardioides marmoriginsengisoli. RNAcentral describes it as "bacterial SSU rRNA". It matches the Rfam family "Bacterial small subunit ribosomal RNA", at positions 88 to 866 of the family's 1533-position model. Lineage: Bacteria; Bacillati; Actinomycetota; Actinomycetes; Propionibacteriales; Nocardioidaceae. The record is from RNAcentral.
UACACGAGCGGCGAACGGGUGAGUAACACGUGAGCAAUCUGCCCUUCACUUUGGGAUAACUUCCGGAAACGGAAGCUAAUACCGAAUACGACCACUUCAGGCAUCUGAUGGUGGUGGAAAGUUCCGGCGGUGAAGGAUGAGCUCGCGGCCUAUCAGCUUGUUGGUGAGGUAACGGCUCACCAAGGCUUCGACGGGUAGCCGGCCUGAGAGGGUGACCGGCCACACUGGGACUGAGACACGGCCCAGACUCCUACGGGAGGCAGCAGUGGGGAAUAUUGGACAAUGGGCGAAAGCCUGAUCCAGCAACGCCGCGUGAGGGAUGACUGCCUUCGGGUUGUAAACCUCUUUCAGCAGGGACGAAGCGAAAGUGACGGUACCUGCAAAAGAAGCACCGGCCAACUACGUGCCAGCAGCCGCGGUAAUACGUAGGGUGCGAGCGUUGUCCGGAAUUAUUGGGCGUAAAGGGCUCGUAGGCGGUUUGUCACGUCGGGAGUGAAAACUCAGGGCUUAACCCUGAGCCUGCUUCCGAUACGGGCAGACUAGAGGUAUGCAGGGGAGAACGGAAUUCCUGGUGUAGCGGUGAAAUGCGCAGAUAUCAGGAGGAACACCGGUGGCGAAGGCGGUUCUCUGGGCAUUACCUGACGCUGAGGAGCGAAAGUGUGGGGAGCGAACAGGAUUAAUACCCUGGUAGUCCACACCGUAAACGUUGGGCGCUAGGUGUGGGACUCAUUCCACGAGUUCCGUGCCGCAGCUAACGCAUUAAGCG